UGAGCCUUUGGGCCACAAUUCCAGAUUACCGUCCAUCCUAGCAGAAUCUUGAAACAGCUGUUCACAUUACAUCCACAGUCAGGGCCAGAGAAAAACCCAUGCACACAUACUUCCUUUCCUAGACUUUUAAUGCAAUUUGGGACCCAACUCAGGGAAUGGUGCCACCCACAAUGGUCUGGGUCUCCUCACGUCAAUUAAUGUGACCAAGACAAACGUCCUAUAGACCAACCAUACAAUCCCUCACUGAGAUUCCCUUCCCAGGUAAUUCCAGACUGCGACAAUGCAAAGUACCCAUCCCAGUUUUGGUGGGCAGAGGCGUAUUAUCACUGUAAAAACCCCUAUAGCAUAGAAGUAAUACACAUAAUUUUCUCAAAUUUUCACCUAGUUAAGAAAUACAAAUCUCAAUUCUGAAAGUACAGAGAAUACAGUGACCUGUAUGAUUUUUUUUAAUAUUAUCUGGACGUAUCCUUUAAAAUGAAGAUUCAUGUUAAGAUUCUUCAAAACAGAUCGCUGCUCUUCAUGUGAGCCAGCAGCUGGCACUACAGCCAUUUGUAUCUGCUCCUAUUUUAUCGUAUUCCCUGGAGGCUCAAGCCCUGCCACCUCUUCCUCCUGUGAGUCAUCUGUAUUUGUACACUCAAAGCCUCGCUGUGUGCCAGUCGGGGAAAACCUCGCCAGGAGACUGGCAGGGCAUUAGAGCAUGACCGAACUGCAUGUAAACUGCCUGAGGAAUCUGACUCCCCUGGGAACAGUUUUCACAGUGCGGUGGCCCUGCAGGCUGCCAUACAUGUGGAACCCAAGUGUGUUUGAAAUAUGUUCCCACAAGCUAGAGUUCUGGUGCCUACUGCCCCUCAUAAGAGGCUGAUACAAAGCUCCCAGGUUCUCUGAAUCUACUUGGAUCCAGAGGAAGCUGUUGGUGGCUUCCAGAGACUCAUGUCCGUGUGUAAUGGAGAAGACAAAGACACUGCCGAGCAGGCAGUGAAGAGAAACCGCCCACGUGGGAAGACAGGAGCAGCAGCACACAGUUCGCCAGUGGAAACCAGCAGCAGUGGAAGCUGUCGCUCUUCCAGACGGAGUUAGAUGGCCGCAAAGUGGGGUCUUCGUUCUGACCUUGAUAAUGUGGCGGGAUCUUCAUGGACUUUCAGGCUAAUAUGCAUGGAUACAAAAAUUACCCAGCAAUCUUGAAGCUUAAAAAAAAGGAAAAGAAAAAGAUGGCAGUAAUUAAAUAACAAAAAAAAACUAUAUUCAAAUAAAAUUAAGGGUUUGACUUAAA
This is a long non-coding RNA of Alexandromys fortis (reed vole), 1270 nucleotides long. RefSeq lists it as uncharacterized. The transcript has 2 exons. NCBI's taxonomy places the organism in Eukaryota, Metazoa, Chordata, Mammalia, Rodentia, Cricetidae. The record is from RefSeq and is a predicted model, not a curated record.